RNAcentral lists this long non-coding RNA (4482 nucleotides) under Homo sapiens (human). RNAcentral's name for it is "HSALNT0269533". The record is from RNAcentral. Lineage: Eukaryota; Metazoa; Chordata; Mammalia; Primates; Hominidae.
UGCAACCUCCACCUCCCGGGUUCAAGUGAUUCUUGUGCCUCAGUCUCCCAAGUAGCUGGGAUUACAGGCACCCACCAGCACAGCAGCUAAUUUCUUUUUUUUUCUUUUUUUUUUUUUUGUAUUUUUAGUAGAGGCAAGAUUUCUCCAUGUUGGCGAGGCUAGUCUCAAACUCCUGACCUCAAGUGAUCCACCCGCCUCGGCCUCCCCAAAGUGCUGGGAUUAUAGGCGUGAGCCACUGCGCCUGGCCCAGGCUCAGGUUUUUCAAAGCCUGAAAUUAUGUCAAUUUUGGACACAAUCUUUAAGAAAAAGAGAUACAGUUACAUGUACAGAAUUAGGGCCAGGGCCUUUCCCCUAAGCUAAAACUUGGACAGCCUCAGGGUGAACCCCAUGUGAGCUAACACUGAAAGAAAGACUGGCGCUGAUGACAGGAACCUUCUUCCAGGCAGGGGGAACAGCCGCGGAAAAGCUUCGAGGUGGCAAAGAGCCGGGAGAGUUCUGUGUGACUGCAGCUUGGCAGGGGAUCCAGGAGAGGCUGGAGGCCCAACAGGCCGGACCAGGAAGUGCCAGAAGAUGCUUCCAAUGUGGGCCUGCCAGCUCCAGCUGACAGCACCAGGCACUGUCCCAGACACCACCUGAAAAACAAUCAAAGGCAGUGAACAAACCAUGAAUCCCUCAGGAAAUACAGACAGUUAAACAGUACACGGAGGAAUGCACAGCCUUGCUGAUCGAAUGAGAAAAAAAAAUCGAUAAAACAAGCCCAGUGCUGCAAAGGAUGCGGGGAAAAUAACACAUCCCUUUGCUGUAAACAGAUUCCGAUUUUGAAGAUGCUUCUGUCUGCAUGGAAAAAGCCCCACGCAGCUGCCUGACCCCCCGACCUCGAAUAUUAUCUUGAGGCGGGGUUCUGCAUCUGAGGAAAUAACCCUCAGCAGGAAAAGCGUUCACAGCAACCUUAUUUAAACUGAGAGGUGGAAAAAAGAAAACAACCCAGACGUCCCUUGCUCACACUUGUGGAGCGCUCACACUACGCGAGGUGCCGGACACGCAUUAGCUCUUUGAUCCUUUCCACUGCUCUGUGAGUUGUGGUUUAUGAACCUCCCAUUUUACAAUAAGCAGGGGACACAACAGAGGCCAGCCCUCCCUCCACAGCCGCUCAGGGGCUCAGAGCUGAGGCACCUCAGCGCCACCUGGAGCUUGGGUUCCCCUCCCUCCAAGCUGUUUCUUAGCAACAUGAGGCAACCUUGUCUGCGAAAGAGGAGGUGACCGCAGCUCCUGGGGAUGUGCCAACUCUGGGAUGUGACGGGAAGACAAAGGGCUUCUGUCCCCUUCUGCCUGGCGGUAAGAGAGCCGGCCGCCCGGCAGGCAUGCCCCAGCCUGUGGUUCUGGAAUGCGGGCAAGCCACCGUCCCCAGAGACCUGUGUUGGUGGCCAGGCCAGCCCACACACCCGAUUGGCACAUACUCUUGUGCUUGCCCAGGAGCGGAGUCAGACCAUUCACGCUGCCUUCAUGGGAGUUGAACAGUUGAACUGAUGCCCUUAAACCCAGUGUUUCCCUCUGGGAAGACGCCCGGGGGCCUCGUGGUUGUAGGUGCUGGAAGGAUAGCUCCAGCUCCAGGCACCUGCCACAUAAAGGUAGUUGUGAAAUUUCGGACAUGCUCUUGGCACAGGGCAGAGGUUGGGGAUCUCUUGCCUGUGCGGAGAGGACAAGGGGACAAGGGGACGUGCCUGAGGCUGGUGUGGGUGUUGAUGUGACCUCUGCUCUUGGGGUCCAGUCUCCCCAACUCUGGCUGGCCUGGAUGAGUGUGCCAGAAAUGGGACUCUGGCCAUCGCAGUCCACUGGGUGCCCUGUGUGGUAGGCACAGUGUCCAGGGGAAUAGCUGUUUGUCUCCAAUGAUUGUUCUCUUCUUCUCGGCUGAGCUGGGGGCUCAUGUGUCUUUAAUACUGGCCAACUCCUGCUUACCCCCCGCUCCAUCUGAGAGAGCAGGCCCCAGGCUCCUGGCGUGUGCAGGUGGCAGUUUACGAACACACUGUGACAGCAUCUGAAAUCCUGGUCAAUACUAAACACGACUGAUGGCCACUGUGCUUAUUUUCAGAGUCAUCUGCAAAGCAAGUGAUACUGGUUUUCCAUUUACAUUGGUGCAACAGAAUUUCCUUUUAAAAUAGACAUUUAUUUAUUUAUUGUAUUUACUUUUUUGAGACAGGGUCUCACUCUGUCCCCCAGGUUGGGGUACAGUGGUGCAGUCUUGGUUCACUGCAACCUCCACCUCCUGGGUUCAAGUGAUCCUCCAGCCUCAGCCUCCCAAGUAGUUGGGACUACAGGCAUGUGCCACCAUGCCAAGCUAAUUUUUGUAUUUUUGGUAGAGAUGGGGUUUCACCAUGUUGACCAGGCUGGUCUCGAACUCCUAACCUCAAGUGAUCCAUAGGCCUCGGCCUCCCAAAGGGCUAAAAUAAACAUUUAAGUAAAAAAAAAAAGAAAAAAAUCUGAGUCAUUUUAAAGAAAAGUAUGAAACAAAUGGUAGACCAGAUGAGAUGGUCAAGGUCACAGAGGGAGCCUCAGAAUGCAUGAAGUUUGGGAACCCUGGGCAAGGGCCCUCCUUAGCCCCUGGCAAGGUCACUCCGGAUGGUGUGGGUCUUACCAGCCUCUCCUCAUCCUGGCCUUGUUUUAGUCGCCAGGGCCUGGGUGGCAGAUUCUUGAGUCUCUGGGAUCUUUGCCCUCCCCUCUGCUUCUCCCUCUUUCUCUCCUUGUUCCUCCUUCUCCUUCUUCACUGAUCAAGCUCAAGAAGCACCCAGCAGGUCCACCGCAGACCCCUCCCAUCCCAUCUUGCUUUGAGGCUUUCCUCAUGGGACAGGGUUGGCCUGUCCUGAUUGUGGAGUCUCCACUUCCCCACUCAACCCCGCUUGCAUCUUCCUUCAUCUGCCCAGUGCACCGAGGCUGCCCAUCAGAGUCACCUGAGGGGCUCUUAGGAGAUGCCCCGGCCUAACCGCCUGCCAGUUGAGUCAGAAUCCCUGGUGGAGGGACAUCCUAACAACUCUCUCCUUCAAGGAGCCUGGCCUGACGGGAGGAGUGUUUCCCUGUCCCUGUCGCCCAGGGGUUCAUUUUCGGGCGGAUGAACAAUGGCUGCAGAGCAUAGAAGCCCAGCUCCACUUCCCUGAAGGACCCAGGUUCCUUCCACAUUUCUGCUCGGUCACCCUCAGUGUGGUGUCUUUCAGUUGCUUCAUGGUCACGAAGUGGCUGCGGCUGCUCAGAGGCUCCUGACAUCACAGCAGCUGCACCAGCAGGACAGCAGGGAGAGGGCUUGCAUCUCAGUGGCUAAAACUGGGUCACAUGGCUGCCGCCAGCUGCAAGGAGGCUGAAAGGCAAGUCUCGGGCAGAGGGCAGUGGGAUGCCUAUGAUUAGGCCAGUCCUGAUUCAUCCCUAGGGCUAGGCAUGUGGCUGGCCCAACAGAACUGCUAUUUUGGUAGCAAAGGAAGAAAUAAGAAACAGCUUUUGAGAGUGCAGCCAAGAGUAAGUGUGACAAGGAAACAUAAAUAUCAUGUGCCGGCUGGGCGCGGUGGCUCGCGCCUGUAAUCCCAGCACUUUGGGUCGAGGAGCGCGUGGAUCACUUGAGGUCAGGAAAUUUAGACCAGCAUGGCCAACACAGUGAAACCCCAUCUCUACUAAAAUACAAUAAUUAGCCAUGCGUGAUGGCAGGUGCCUGUAAUCCUAGCUUCUCGGGAGGCUGAGGCAGGAACCCGGGAGGUGGAGGUUUCAGUGAGUCGAGAUCAUGCCACAGCACUCCAGUCUGGGCAACAGAGCGAGAUUCCAUCUCAAAAAAAAAAAAACAAAAUCUAUGUGCCUCCCACUGACAGAUAUUCAUUUUUUUGUUGGCAUCCCCUACACUCAGAAUAUACAUUCUAGGUGGGAAUUUUUGUCUGUUUUGUUCUCUGCUGUAUCUUCAAGAUCUACAACCGUGUCUGGCACCGUGUAGAUGCCUAAUAAGUAUUUGUGGAGUAAAUGGCCAACCCUACGACGUGGGUACCCCUGUUAGCCCUGCUUUCUAGUUGUGAAACAGGCCCAGAAAGGUUCGGCAACUUGCUGGGGACACAGGGACCUCUAGCUGAUGCAGCCUAGAGUUGAGCCCUUGGGGAGCUGGCCCCAGAGCUGGUGCACUCCGCCCUGCAGAGCCCUGCCUCUCCUGCUGGGCUGGGAGCCGAAGCUGGUGGUUCUAGGCUCAAAUUCUUGCUCUACGGUGACCAGCUGUGUGACCCAGGGCAGUCUCCAUCUCUCUGGGAUUUGCUCCUUGUCUGCACAGAGAAACAAGCCUUUCCUCUUAAGGGUGCCUGUGCAUUCCAGGAGGCGGUCAUAAGCACAGCUCUUAACAGAGUCUGGCACCCAGCAGCUUCCUGGCUAUUGCUGGCUAUUGUUGCUCUCCCAUAUUAUAGGGGGGGCAACCAAGAAGCAACCAGAAGAUGUUCAAUGUCACAGAGCCUGUGGGUUCAAAGGCAG